CCUACGGGAGGCAGCAGUGAGGAAUAUUGGUCAAUGGGCGGAAGCCUGAACCAGCCAAGUAGCGUGCGGGAUGAAGGCCCUACGGGUCGUAAACCGCUUUUGCACGGGGAUAACACCCUCCACUUGUGGAGGUCUGCAGGUACCGUUCGAAUAAGGGCCGGCUAAUUCCGUUCCAGCAGCCGCGGUAAUACGGAAGGCCCGAGCGUUAUCCGGAUUCAUUGGGCUUAAAGGGAGCGUAGGCGGGCGUUUAAGUCAGCUGUAAAAUUGCGCGGCUCAACCGCGCCCCGCAGUUGAAAAGGGACGCCUUGAGUUAACAACAGGCAGGCGGAAUUCGUGGUGUAGCGGUGAAAUGCAUAGAUAUCACGAGGAACCCCGAUUGCGAAGGCAGCCUGCCGGGGUGCGACUGACGCUGAGGCUCGAAGGUGCGGGUAUCAAACAGGAUUAGAUACCCUUGUAGUC
Molecule: ribosomal RNA, 459 nt
Filed under: uncultured bacterium
Lineage: Bacteria
Description: partial 16S ribosomal RNA
Rfam family: Bacterial small subunit ribosomal RNA
Source: RNAcentral